Punica granatum (pomegranate) is the source of this 90-nucleotide non-coding RNA. Lineage: Eukaryota; Viridiplantae; Streptophyta; Magnoliopsida; Myrtales; Lythraceae. The record is from Rfam.
CGGAUGAGGAUGAAGCAAAAAACAAUAUAAAUCCAACACUUGAUCUGAUCAUAAACAGUGAUGCUCAAAAUUGUUAGCUUCUGAAUCUGC